AGAGUUUGAUCCUGGCUCAGGACGAACGCUGGCGGCGUGCUUAACACAUGCAAGUCGAACGGAAAGGCCCCUGCUUGCAGGGGUACUCGAGUGGCGAACGGGUGAGUAACACGUGGGUGAUCUGCCCUUCACUUCGGGAUAAGCCUGGGAAACUGGGUCUAAUACCGGAUAGGACCAAUCUUUAGUGUGGUUGGUGGAAAGUUUUUUCGGUGGAGGAUGAGCCCGCGGCCUAUCAGCUUGUUGGUGGGGUAAUGGCCUACCAAGGCGACGACGGGUAGCCGGCCUGAGAGGGUGGACGGCCACAUUGGGACUGAGCCACGGCCCAGACUCCUACGGGAGGCAGCAGUGGGGAAUAUUGCACAAUGGGCGGAAGCCUGAUGCAGCGACGCCGCGUGAGGGAUGACGGCCUUCGGGUUGUAAACCUCUUUCGCUAGGGAAGAAGCCUUCGGGUGACGGUACCUGGAUAAGAAGCACCGGCUAACUACGUG
RNAcentral lists this ribosomal RNA (488 nucleotides) under uncultured Corynebacterium sp. RNAcentral describes it as "bacterial SSU rRNA". It matches the Rfam family "Bacterial small subunit ribosomal RNA", at positions 8 to 507 of the family's 1533-position model. The record is from RNAcentral. Lineage: Bacteria; Bacillati; Actinomycetota; Actinomycetes; Mycobacteriales; Corynebacteriaceae.